GAAACGACUCUCGGCAACGGAUAUCUCGGCUCUUGUUACGAUGAAAAACGUAGCGAAAUGCGAUACUUAGUGUGAAUUGCAAAAUCCCGUGAAUCAUCGAGUUUUUGAACGCAAUUUGCGCCCGAGGCUUCGGUCGAGGGCACGUCUGUCUGGGCGUCGCAU
This 162-nucleotide ribosomal RNA is filed under the name Pinus pumila (dwarf Siberian pine). RNAcentral's name for it is "5.8S ribosomal RNA". It matches the Rfam family "5.8S ribosomal RNA". From Rfam's summary of the family: 5.8S ribosomal RNA (5.8S rRNA) is a component of the large subunit of the eukaryotic ribosome. It is transcribed by RNA polymerase I as part of the 45S precursor that also contains 18S and 28S rRNA. The record is from RNAcentral. Lineage: Eukaryota; Viridiplantae; Streptophyta; Pinopsida; Pinales; Pinaceae.